RNAcentral lists this ribosomal RNA (446 nucleotides) under uncultured bacterium. RNAcentral describes it as "bacterial SSU rRNA". It matches the Rfam family "Bacterial small subunit ribosomal RNA", at positions 354 to 796 of the family's 1533-position model. The record is from RNAcentral.
GUGGGGAAUUUUGCGCAAUGGGGGAAACCCUGACGCAGCAACGCCGCGUGAGUGAUGAAGGCCUUCGGGUCGUAAAGCUCUUUUAGUGGGGAAGAAAUCCCAUGGUCACGCCAUGGGUCUGACGGUACCCACAGAAAAAGUUCCGGCUAACUACGUGCCAGCAGCCGCGGUAAUACGUAGGGAGCAAGCGUUGUUCGGAAUUAUUGGGCGUAAAGAGCGCGUAGGCGGUCAGGUAAGUCUGACGUGAAAUCCCGGAGCUUAACUCCGGAACUGCGUUGGAUACUGCCAGGCUUGAGUGUGGGAGAGGAGAGUGGAAUUCCCAGUGUAGAGGUGAAAUUCGUAGAUAUUGGGAGGAACACCGGUGGCGAAGGCGGCUCUCUGGACCACAACUGACGCUGAGGCGCGAAAGCUAGGGUAGCAAACGGGAUUAGAAACCCGAGUAGUCC